AUUGAACGCUGGCGGCAUGCCUUACACAUGCAAGUCGAACGGCAGCACGGGGGCAACCCUGGUGGCGAGUGGCGAACGGGUGAGUAACAUAUCGGAACAUACCCUAGAGUGGGGGAUAACGUAGCGAAAGUUACGCUAAUACCGCAUACGAUCUAAGGAUGAAAGUGGGGGAUCUUCGGACCUCAUGCUCAUGGAGUGGCCGAUAUCUGAUUAGCUAGUUGGUGAGGUAAAGGCUCACCAAGGCGACGAUCAGUAGCUGGUUUGAGAGAACGACCAGCCACACUGGAACUGAGACACGGCCCAGACUCCUACGGAGGCAGCAGUGGGGAAUAUUGGGACAAUGGGCGAAAGCCUGAUCCAGCAAUGCCGCGUGAGUGAUGAAGGCCUUAGGGUUGUAAAGCUCUUUUACCCGGGAUGAUAAUGACAGUACCGGAGAAUAAGCCCCGGCUAACUCCGUGCCAGCAGCCGCGGU
Molecule: ribosomal RNA, 472 nt
Filed under: uncultured bacterium
Lineage: Bacteria
Description: bacterial SSU rRNA
Rfam family: Bacterial small subunit ribosomal RNA
Source: RNAcentral